This 800-nucleotide long non-coding RNA is filed under the name Bos taurus (domestic cattle). RNAcentral describes it as "long non-coding RNA NONBTAT010821". Lineage: Eukaryota; Metazoa; Chordata; Mammalia; Artiodactyla; Bovidae. The record is from RNAcentral.
GGCAUUUGUGGUUACAAUUCAAUUUUGAUCUGUUCUAUAAUUUAACUCACAAUAAAGCUAAGUUAUAAUUUUUCUCUUAUAACUAUUUUGGCAUUCUACAAGGUUAAAUUACUCAUUUGGGGAUGACUUAUGUCAAAUAGAAGGAUUAUUUUUAAUCAGGUUUCAGAAAUUUAAAAAUAUUGUGAUUCUGUUCUGAGUCAAACAUUGAAGGUUUGCUCUGUGAGUGGCAGAUAAUUUCUUUUCCCUCAGCAUAGCAGAGGGUACGGUCAUAAUCCGAGGGAUGGUGCCGUUGUGUUGGUGCUGUCAUCUUGCCUUGCUCCAGAUAGUUCAUGGGAACAAGGGCUUUGGAAUGACCCAUACUGCAUCUUUGGUAUGAACUGUAGAAUCUGUGGAUCAAAUCACAGGUUUUAGCUAACAGAGACACAAGCUACAAAAGUAACUCCUGUCCUCUAAAAUUGAACCAUAAUCUGUUUAUGCGGGCUUCUGAGAUGUUUCUUUAAAAGAGGUUUUGGCCAUCUGUUUUCAAACGGCUUGACUUCUUAAAAAAGUCAAAACAACAAAGAAUCCUUUAUUAAAGAGAAGAUUUCUCAAAAUGAUGUGUCCAGUCAUGUGAAGAUUUCUUAUGAAAGGACUUAAGUUAUUUUCCCAAACCAUUUUCAAGGAUUGACUGUAAUGUCAUUCAAAAUAUAUCACUGAACAGGAAGAAAGUUGGGAAAAUUCUUUAUCUAUUUUCAUCUUUGUUUUCAAAAACCUAGCCAGAUUGGAGGAAAAGGAAUUACUAUUUUACAUGUUUAUAGAAA